This 547-nucleotide ribosomal RNA is filed under the name Leviprora inops (longhead flathead). RNAcentral describes it as "partial 16S ribosomal RNA". It matches the Rfam family "Bacterial large subunit ribosomal RNA", at positions 1850 to 2578 of the family's 2925-position model. The record is from RNAcentral. Lineage: Eukaryota; Metazoa; Chordata; Actinopteri; Perciformes; Platycephalidae.
GGCCCAGCCUGCCCAGUGACUUUAUGUUCAACGGCCGCGGUAUUCUGACCGUGCGAAGGUAGCGCAAUAACUUGUCCUUUAAAUGGGGACUAGUAUGAAUGGCAUCACGAGGGCUUAUCUGUCUCCUUUUUUAGGUCAAUGAAAUUGAUCUUCCCGUGCAAAAGCGGGAAUACGCACAUAAGACGAGAAGACCCUGUGGAGCUUUAGACACCAAGACAGAUCACGUUAAGAAUACCUCAAUAAGGGUUUAAACUAAAAGAAGCCUGCUCUGAUGUCUUUGGUUGGGGCGACCGCGGAGUAGAAAAUACCCUCCCCUCCGCGUGGACUGGGAGCACUAAACCUGAAACCUCCUACAACUGAGAGCUACAGCUCAAACCAGCAGAAAUUUCUGGCCAUCAUUGAUCCGGCCCAACGCCGAUCAACGAACCGAGUUACCCCAGGGAUAACAGCGCAAUCCCCUUUUAGAGCCCAUAUCGACAAGGGGGUUUACGACCUCGAUGUUGGAUCAGGACAUCCUAAUGGUGCAACCGCUAUUAAGGGUUCGUUU